This is a long non-coding RNA of Quercus robur (English oak), 290 nucleotides long. RefSeq lists it as uncharacterized. The record is from RefSeq and is a predicted model, not a curated record. NCBI's taxonomy places the organism in Eukaryota, Viridiplantae, Streptophyta, Magnoliopsida, Fagales, Fagaceae. The transcript has 2 exons.
GCAGCACUUAGAAAGGAUCAGGAACGACUUUGUUCUCCACCAAAGUUACCAAAACACAGCUAAAACAGCUAACUCCAAAGUAAAUGUUUAUGAGGUAACUAAAACAGCUAUAUCCCAUGCUCAACUCAGCAAAUGGCAGAAACUACACAGGUCAAUCAACUUCAUGCUUGACAGUCUAUGUAUUGAACAACUAAUGAACCUCAUUCAAAAUUUCUUAAUAUCAUCUAUUUUUUAAUUUUACUGCAAUAUGCAAGGCUUUACAUUUCAAAUAUUACGACAUACAUUUCACA